Molecule: ribosomal RNA, 648 nt
Filed under: uncultured bacterium
Lineage: Bacteria
Description: bacterial SSU rRNA
Rfam family: Bacterial small subunit ribosomal RNA
Source: RNAcentral
AUGCAUGCAAGUCGAACGAGGACCCUUUGAUUGGUAACUUUCGAAGGACUCCUAGUGGCGAACGGGUGAGUAACACGUGAGCAACCUGCCCCGAAGACCGGGAUAACCCAUGGAAACGUGGAUUAAUACCGGAUACCCUCUAGGGACCGAAUGGCCCCAUGAGGAAAGGCUCCGGCGCUUCGGGAUGGGCUCGCGGCCUAUCAGCUUGUUGGUGAGGUAACGGCUCACCAAGGCUCUGACGGGUAGCUGGUCUGAGAGGACGAUCAGCCACACUGGGACUGAGACACGGCCCAGACUCCUACGGGAGGCAGCAGCAGGGAAUAUUGCACAAUGGGCGCAAGCCUGAUGCAGCGACGCCGCGUGAGGGAUGAAGGCUUUCGAGUUGUAAACCUCUUUCAGUGGGGAAGAAGCGCAAGUGACGGUACCCACACAAGAAGGCCCGGCCAACUACGUGCCAGCAGCCGCGGUAAUACGUAGGGGCCAAGCGUUAUCCGGAUUUAUUGGGCGUAAAGAGCUCGUAGGCGGCUUGGCAAGUCGGUCGUGAAAGUCCGAGGCUCAACCUCGGAAUGCCGGUCGAAACUGCCAUGGCUAGGGUUCGGUAGAGGAGAGUGGAAUUCUCGGUGUAGCGGUGAAAUGCGCAGAUAUCGA